GAUGAACGCUGGCGGCGUGCCUAAUACAUGCAAGUCGAGCGAACGGACGAGAAGCUUGCUUCUCUGAUGUUAGCGGCGGACGGGUGAGUAACACGUGGAUAACCUACCUAUAAGACUGGGAUAACUUCGGGAAACCGGAGCUAAUACCGGAUAAUAUUUUGAACCGCAUGGUUCAAAAGUGAAAGACGGUCUUGCUGUCACUUAUAGAUGGAUCCGCGCUGCAUUAGCUAGUUGGUAAGGUAACGGCUUACCAAGGCAACGAUGCAUAGCCGACCUGAGAGGGUGAUCGGCCACACUGGAACUGAGACACGGUCCAGACUCCUACGGGAGGCAGCAGUAGGGAAUCUUCCGCAAUGGGCGAAAGCCUGACGGAGCAACGCCGCGUGAGUGAUGAAGGUCUUCGGAUCGUAAAACUCUGUUAUUAGGGAAGAACAUAUGUGUAAGUAACUGUGCACAUCUUGACGGUACCUAAUCAGAAAGCCACGGCUAACUACGUGCCAGCAGCCGCGGUAAUACGUAGGUGGCAAGCGUUAUCCGGAAUUAUUGGGCGUAAAGCGCGCGUAGGCGGUUUUUUAAGUCUGAUGUGAAAGCCCACGGCUCAACCGUGGAGGGUCAUUGGAAACUGGAAAACUUGAGUGCAGAAGAGGAAAGUGGAAUUCCAUGUGUAGCGGUGAAAUGCGCAGAGAUAUGGAGGAACACCAGUGGCGAAGGCGACUUUCUGGUCUGUAACUGACGCUGAUGUGCGAAAGCGUGGGGAUCAAACAGGAUUAGAUACCCCGGUAGUCCACGCCGUAAACGAUGAGUGCUAAGUGUUAGGGGGUUUCCGCCCCUUAGUGCUGCAGCUAACGCAUUAAGCACUCCGCCUGGGGAGUACGACCGCAAGGUUGAAACUCAAAGGAAUUGACGGGGACCCGCACAAGCGGUGGAGCAUGUGGUUUAAUUCGAAGCAACGCGAAGAACCUUACCAAAUCUUGACAUCCUUUGACAACUCUAGAGAUAGAGCUUUCCCCUUCGGGGGACAAAGUGACAGGUGGUGCAUGGUUGUCGUCAGCUCGUGUCGUGAGAUGUUGGGUUAAGUCCCGCAACGAGCGCAACCCUUAAGCUUAGUUGCCAUCAUUAAGUUGGGCACUCUAAGUUGACUGCCGGUGACAAACCGGAGGAAGGUGGGGAUGACGUCAAAUCAUCAUGCCCCUUAUGAUUUGGGCUACACACGUGCUACAAUGGACAAUACAAAGGGCAGCGAAACCGCGAGGUCAAGCAAAUCCCAUAAAGUUGUUCUCAGUUCGGAUUGUAGUCUGCAACUCGACUACAUGAAGCUGGAAUCGCUAGUAAUCGUAGAUCAGCAUGCUACGGUGAAUACGUUCCCGGGUCU
Molecule: ribosomal RNA, 1372 nt
Filed under: uncultured bacterium
Lineage: Bacteria
Description: bacterial SSU rRNA
Rfam family: Bacterial small subunit ribosomal RNA
Source: RNAcentral